This 198-nucleotide ribosomal RNA is filed under the name uncultured eukaryote. Its description in RNAcentral is "partial 18S ribosomal RNA". It matches the Rfam family "Eukaryotic small subunit ribosomal RNA", at positions 1299 to 1458 of the family's 1831-position model. The record is from RNAcentral.
UGGUGGAGUGAUUUGUCUGGUUAAUUCCGAUAACGAACGAGAUCUCAGUAUUUAAAUAGACAUAUCAAUCUUCUAAUGGGUGAAGCUGCUUAACAGACCUCUUUUAGGGGCCUUUGGGUGGUGGAUCCCUGACGAAUUGGUACUAUCUUCUUAGAUAGACUGCUUGUGGGUAACAAGUGGAAGUUUGAGGCAAUAACA